CUUUGUUUCUAUUUUGUUGGUUUGAGAAAUGAAGUAAUGAUUAAUAGGGAUAGUUGGGGGCAUUAGUAUUCCAUUGUCAGAGGUGAAAUUCUUGGAUUUAUGAAAGACUAACUUCUGCGAAAGCAUUUGCCAAGGAUGUUUUCAUUAAUCAAGAACGAAAGUCAGGGGAUCGAAGACGAUCAGAUACCGUCGUAGUCUUGACCAUAAACUAUGCCGACUAGGGAUCGGGCAAUGUUAUUUUAUUGACAUGCUCGGCACCUUAUGAGAAAUCAAAGUUUUUGGGUUCCGGGGGGAGUAUGGUCGCAAGGCUGAAACUUAAAGGAAUUGACGGAAGGGCACCACCAGGAGUGGAGCCUGCGGCUUAAUUUGACUCAACACGGGGAAACUCAC
This 390-nucleotide ribosomal RNA is filed under the name fungal sp. Its description in RNAcentral is "SSU rRNA". It matches the Rfam family "Eukaryotic small subunit ribosomal RNA", at positions 829 to 1218 of the family's 1831-position model. The record is from RNAcentral. Lineage: Eukaryota; Fungi.